RNAcentral lists this non-coding RNA (67 nucleotides) under Uncinocarpus reesii 1704. The record is from RNAcentral. Lineage: Eukaryota; Fungi; Ascomycota; Eurotiomycetes; Onygenales; Onygenaceae.
CCUUAGCGAGGCUUGCACCUCUACGUGGUGCUAAGGACCAGUAGCCAUAUGGUGAAGCUAAGCAAGC